Long non-coding RNA from Phacochoerus africanus (Common warthog), 1579 nucleotides. RefSeq lists it as uncharacterized. The record is from RefSeq and is a predicted model, not a curated record. The transcript has 3 exons. Lineage: Eukaryota; Metazoa; Chordata; Mammalia; Artiodactyla; Suidae.
AUGCUGCAGGUGUGGCCCGAAAAAGAAAAAAAAAAAAAUUACCUAAUAAAACUAAUGUUUAUCACUGUGGAUCCACUGCUGGCAAAAAGAGACACGGCAGAAUCCUGCAGCUCCACAAGCUGAAUCUCUAGGCUACGGGGUGAGUUUCGGGGACACGCAGCUGAAAAACCUCUCUUUGGGCAUCUCGGUGUCAUCAAAGACAUUAUCGAAGCAUUUGACAAUACUGACCAUCCCACGGAGCCUGGGACUCCGAGGCGUGUCCCUGGGCUGUGGCCACAUUGGUGCCGUGGGGCUGGGCCAGCUCCCUUCAGUUCGCAGUCACUGGCUCCUCGUCUCUCCUGAUCUCUAGGAAGACAUUUGAAAAGGCUCUUCCCUGUCUUUCUGCCCCAGAAGAAAGAAGCUGCUUGAUCGCUUUGGCUCCAGCUGCUCCUGGCAGGGAGCUAGACCACCAAUGAUCUCUUAAAUGCUAGCAAAGGGCAUGCUUUGGGACGUGGGGUUUUGAAAUUCCUAAAAAUAUUACAGAAUUAGGCAGCCUAUGAAUUGCAAGUUUAGAAAUGAAGCCCCCCACAACCCCAGCCAAAAAAAAAUUUUUUUUUCAAGUACAGAGAUCAGAUAGCUGAGGUUGAUGUCUGAGAAACGCUCAAAGAUUCUGAGUUUACCUCAAAUACGACUCCCUGCAAGCUCUGCAUCCCUGUGCCCCACAGAGGCGAGGACUCGGUGUUUGUGGACAGCAGAAUGUUGAUACUGGGAACUCCGGCUGUGGCUCAGUGGUAACGAACCUGACUAGUAUCCAUGAGGAUGCAGGUUUGAUCCCUGGCCCUGCUCAGUCGGUUAAGGAUCCGGCGUUGCGGAUAGAUGUCCAUUUUUACCACAUCUGGGACCACCAGGGAUUGCCCAGGAAGACAUGUCGUGACCAUCUAGCCAUAACAGCAUGGCUGUGCCUGUAGACAACACCAAUCCAGAGGAUGUCUGGCUGGGAGGGACGUUGUGGAGCAUCCCUGCCGCGAUCUGGACCCUGACCUUCGAUGCGGUCCUGCCAAAGAAAAUAGCGCAUAUUUCCUGCAGUCCCACUGCUGCCGGCUCACAGUGAAGGAGCAUUCAGAGAGUUGAUCAGAAAUCCUGGUCUCCACUUCCCAGUCUCUCAAUAUGUGUACCUAGUUAUCACACGUGGUACCUAGUUACCUCUGCUCAAUAACAGAAAAUGGAAAGGUGACAGGAACCCCUGAAAGGAAAAUAAAGGACCCGAAGAUAAGAAAAAGUGGAGAGGAAAGUGGUAACAACUCUUUCGCAAGCUAAGGAUCAAUAACGAAGUGACCCAUCUUGAAACACUAUUCUCCAUACUGAUGCAAACUAAACUGAGUUGUGUGUAUAGUUAAGAAAAAGAAAAGAUGUCCCAUUCCACUGAAGCACAAGGUUAGUUCCAGAGACAACAGGACCCAGUGGAAACAGUGACCUCACAGGAAGACCCACCUCCCGAAAGGCAGCAUUGAGAUCCAGCUCCCCGAGUGAGUGGAUGCACAUUUCCAGGGUCCAACCUAUAGGCUUCCCUUCAUGCCCAGCCCUGCCACGGGCGCCAGGC